RNAcentral lists this ribosomal RNA (597 nucleotides) under uncultured crenarchaeote. RNAcentral's name for it is "bacterial SSU rRNA". It matches the Rfam family "Archaeal small subunit ribosomal RNA", at positions 80 to 675 of the family's 1478-position model. The record is from RNAcentral. Lineage: Archaea; Thermoproteati; Thermoproteota.
CGAUUACGGCUCAGUAACACGUAGUCAACCUACCCUAAGGACGUGGACAACCACGGGAAACUGUGGCUAAUACUCGAUAAGAAAUUUGGCCUGGAACGGUAUCUUUCACAAAACCGGCUCGCCGUGAGACACGGGCCUUAGGAUGGGGCUGCGCUGAUUAUGCUAGAUGGCGGUGUAAAGGACCACCAUGGCUACGAUCAGUAUGGGCGAUGGAAGUCGGAGCCCAGAGUCGGCUACUGAGACAAGGGCCGAGCUUUACGAAGCUUAGCGGUCGCGAAAACUCGCCAAUGCACGAAAGUGUGUACUCCAAGUGUCAUUCUUACGGAUGACUGUCGCUCAGUCUUACCAGCUGAGAAAGGAAGGAGAGGGCAAGGCUGGUGCCAGCCGCCGCGGUAAAACCAGCUCUUCGAGUGGUCAGGACGAAUAUUGGGUCUAAAGCGCUCGUAGCCGGACAAGUAGGUUCUUGGUUAAAUCCGACAGCAUAACUGUUGGUCUGCUGGGAAUACCGCUAGUCUUGGGAGCGGGAGAGGACAGAGGUAGUCAUAGGGCAGGGGUGAAAUCCAGUGAUCCUAUGGAGACCACCGAUGGCGAAGGCAU